AUACUUACCUGGCAAGGGAGAUACUGUGAUCAAGAAGGCGGUUUACCCAGAGCGAGGCUCAGCCAUUGCACUCCGGCUGUGCUGACCCCUGCGAAUUUCCCAAAUGUGGUAAUCUCGAUUGCAGAAUUUCUGGUAGUGGGGGACUGCGUUCGCGCUCUCCCCUG
This 164-nucleotide small nuclear RNA is filed under the name Hucho hucho (huchen). Its description in RNAcentral is "U1 spliceosomal RNA (ENSHHUG00000008834.1)". It matches the Rfam family "U1 spliceosomal RNA". Rfam says of the family: U1 is a small nuclear RNA (snRNA) component of the spliceosome (involved in pre-mRNA splicing). Its 5' end forms complementary base pairs with the 5' splice junction, thus defining the 5' donor site of an intron. Lineage: Eukaryota; Metazoa; Chordata; Actinopteri; Salmoniformes; Salmonidae. The record is from Rfam by way of RNAcentral.